CUCAUAAGUCUGGGCUAAGCCCACUGAUGAGCCGCUGGAAUGCGGCGAAACUUAUGGG
This 58-nucleotide non-coding RNA is filed under the name synthetic construct. The record is from RNAcentral.